UCGAUUAUAUUUCGAGUAUUAUACAUUCUUUAAACCAUCAACAUUCUUUUUCUACGGAUCACUAUAUGCCUCUAUCGUCAUAAUAGUUCAAUAUUGUGAUGCCCCCAAAAUAGGUAUACAACACCCAUUCUGAGUCGCCAAAAUACAUGGUAUAGAAAGCAAACUACAAUUUUGAUAAUACAGAUGUCGUGUAGAAUACGACAAUACAACUGUGAGUUUAAAUACAAAUAUUGGCUUCUAGACAAUAUACACACCCAAAUAAGUCCUCAUUAAUUAUUCAUACACUAUUUUACAGAAAUAGUGAGGACAGCUAAAACAUCUUCCUAGAACUAUCACUCAUUACCCCGACUCGAUCCUGCUAUGUUCUCACCUCCUGAGAAGAAAA
RNAcentral lists this long non-coding RNA (385 nucleotides) under Panax ginseng (ginseng). RNAcentral describes it as "long non-coding RNA (PGIN_LNC002018)". Lineage: Eukaryota; Viridiplantae; Streptophyta; Magnoliopsida; Apiales; Araliaceae. The record is from RNAcentral.